RNAcentral lists this ribosomal RNA (468 nucleotides) under uncultured bacterium. Its description in RNAcentral is "partial 16S ribosomal RNA". It matches the Rfam family "Bacterial small subunit ribosomal RNA", at positions 28 to 507 of the family's 1533-position model. The record is from RNAcentral.
GACGAACGCUGGCGGCGCGCCUAACACAUGCAAGUCGAACGGAGUCAAGAGGAGCUUGCUUUUCUUGACUUAGUGGCGAACGGGUGAGUAACGCGUGAGUAACCUGCCCUGGAGUGGGGGACAACAGUUGGAAACGACUGCUAAUACCGCAUAAGCCCACGGAUCUGCAUGGAUCUGCGGGAAAAGGAUUUAUUCGCUCUAGGAUGGACUCGCGUCCAAUUAGCUAGUUGGUGAGGUAACGGCCCACCAAGGCGACGAUUGGUAGCCGGACUGAGAGGUUGAACGGCCACAUUGGGACUGAGACACGGCCCAGACUCCUACGGGAGGCAGCAGUGGGGGAUAUUGCACAAUGGGGGAAACCCUGAUGCAGCGACGCCGCGUGGAGGAAGAAGGUUUUCGGAUUGUAAACUCCUGUCGUGAGGGACGAUAAUGACGGUACCUAACAAGAAAGCACCGGCUAACUACGUG